UACGGGGGGAGCAAGCGUUGUUCGGAUUUACUGGGCGUAAAGGGCGCGUAGGCGGCGCAACAAGUCACUUGUGAAAUCUCCGGGCUUAACCCGGAGCGGCCAAGUGAUACUGUCGUGCUAGAGUGCGGAAGGGGCUACUGGAAUUCUCGGUGUAGCGGUGAAAUGCGUAGAUAUCGAGAGGAACACCUGCGGCGAAGGCGGGUAGCUGGGCCGACACGUGACGCUGAGGCGCGAAAGCCAGGGGAGCGAACGGG
This 254-nucleotide ribosomal RNA is filed under the name uncultured bacterium. RNAcentral's name for it is "partial 16S ribosomal RNA". It matches the Rfam family "Bacterial small subunit ribosomal RNA", at positions 524 to 776 of the family's 1533-position model. The record is from RNAcentral.